GAGUUUGAUCCUGGCUCAGAUUGAACGCUGGCGGCAUGCCUUACACAUGCAAGUCGAACGGCAGCAUGAUCUAGCUUGCUAGAUUGAUGGCGAGUGGCGAACGGGUGAGUAAUACAUCGGAACGUGCCCUGUAGUGGGGGAUAACUAGUCGAAAGAUUAGCUAAUACCGCAUACGACCUGAGGGUGAAAGUGGGGGACCGCAAGGCCUCAUGCUAUAGGAGCGGCCGAUGUCUGAUUAGCUAGUUGGUGGGGUAAAGGCCCACCAAGGCGACGAUCAGUAGCUGGUCUGAGAGGACGAUCAGCCACACUGGGACUGAGACACGGCCCAGACUCCUACGGGAGGCAGCAGUGGGGAAUUUUGGACAAUGGGCGAAAGCCUGAUCCAGCAAUGCCGCGUGUGUGAGAA
This 406-nucleotide ribosomal RNA is filed under the name uncultured microorganism. Its description in RNAcentral is "bacterial SSU rRNA". It matches the Rfam family "Bacterial small subunit ribosomal RNA", at positions 9 to 411 of the family's 1533-position model. The record is from RNAcentral.